This 253-nucleotide ribosomal RNA is filed under the name uncultured bacterium. Its description in RNAcentral is "partial 16S ribosomal RNA". It matches the Rfam family "Bacterial small subunit ribosomal RNA", at positions 524 to 776 of the family's 1533-position model. The record is from RNAcentral.
UACGUAGGGGGCGAGCGUUAUCCGGAUUUACUGGGUGUAAAGGGAGCGUAGACGGCGUCGCAAGUCUGAAGUGAAAGCCCGUGGCUCAACUGCGGAACCGCUUUGGAAACUGCGAGGCUGGAGUGCUGGAGAGGUAAGCGGAAUUCCUGGUGUAGCGGUGAAAUGCGUAGAUAUCAGGAGGAACACCGGUGGCGAAGGCGGCUUACUGGACAGUGACUGACGUUGAGGCUCGAAAGCGUGGGGAGCAAACAGG